CUGGCCGGAGAGGAAGGCGGCGCAUUCCGGCCCUCCAUUGCCGGCAAAGCUGGGGUCCACCCCGCCAUACAUCCAGUCCAGGAGGUUGUGGAGGCUGUAGCGAGACAUGGCGGGGACCUCUUCUCCAGGAAUAGCCCCUGCCACCAUUCCAGCCCUGGUCUCUGGGAUGAGCCCUUGCUCAGGUCAGUGCCUCUCUGUGUUUGCCCUGAGCUCUUGGAUGGCUGCCUCUGUGGGUACCACUCUGACAAGGAUGGCUUUGACACCUCGGGCUGAGUUCUACUAACUCCUGAAGGGCUUCUAUAGUCUUAAGAAAAUUCUUCUCAUUUUAUCCACUUUUCAGAGAGUAAGCAAACCCUGGAUCACUUAUGAAAGCAGUGGGGCCACAAGCAAUGCUUUACUGGCUGUGGCAAGGGUUUUGAAGACAGGACAUAGACUGUGACAGGCUGCUGGCAGUCAGACACUGCUGCUGGCUGCCCUGCUCUAGUGAAGCUGCAGCUGGGUAUGGAUCCAAGCCAGGAGCAUGCAAUGCACCUUCAGAUGUGACAUCAAGCAUUCCUACCUUGCUGAAGAUAUGAGAUGCUGGGUAAGGGCUCUCCCAGCCUUGAGGGGCACCCUGAGAAUGUCCCUGCCCCAGGGAGAUCAGCACCAUGAGCUGCCAUGCAGGACACCUCAGUGGUCACAGAGGAUCCAGAUACUUACAGCAAGCCACUCACUAAGGAUGGAUUUGUUAGUUCUUUUUUUUUUUUCUGUUUUGUUGUGUUUUUUCCUUCUUGUUACAAAUCUUGGUUCAUAGAGAUUCUUCCAUCAGUUAUUCUGACUUCCUUCUAUUGAGUCAGUUGCUCACAUGCAUUUUUUAUGAAUUUAAAGAAAAGGUUGUGGUAGUGUGAUUGCUUAUUUCCUCUCAAGGAAUUUUCUUGAGAGAAAGAUGAAAGUCUGUUGCAUUUAUCAUAUCUCUCCCUGUCAGAUAAUUUAGCUAGAACAUAUGCUAGACAAUACCAAAAAAUAAGUAAAUGUCAACUAGAAACAUUCUAAAUAGAAGCUUAAAAAGCAUAUCACAUUGUCAUGAUGUGACAUGCUUUUUAACCUGAUGGACUGAAAAUAAUAAAAAGCACCAGCAGAAACCUGGUAGAUGACAACUGCAUGAGCCAGCUUCUCACCGAUUCACAUUUCUGUCAUGUUCACACUAGUUAGUUUUUCCCUUACAUAAAAUGCUGCAGUAUUAAUAGACACAAAAACAGGUGGAUGUAAAAGCAGGGGAAAGUACAGAACUAUCACGAAUCAGCAAAGUUUGCUCUGAGAUAAAGAAAAUCAUAGUUGACAGUUUAUCUGCACUUGGAUUAUUUGUGUUGAAAUUAAGAGGUCAAACAGUACAGUCAGUCUGCAAUACAGGUGGAGGAGCCACCUGAAAAAUAGGAAAAUUUCUUUGUGGUUUCAUAUUCAUAUGAGUAAACACAGUCUCUGAAAUUAUUUGGAGCUUGGAAAAAUAUAUUUUUGUUGAGUCUGAAAAAAUGGAUCUGCUAUAAAACCCACGUUCUUAAGAAAACUAAAGCUUCUAUCCAGAUGUUCUCCUUAAACUUGAAGUAUCUUGACAAUAAACAAAAAGAUGACUGCUCUUUUCACACAUCAGCAACCAAACAUUUAUGCCUUAGAACACUCCCUUUUAUGUUUGUGUCCUGUGUUGUUCAGCCAUUUUUCAGUUUCCAAGGCAUGUGCUUUAUUUAAUGUCCAGUACUAGCCCCAUAUUAUUGCUAAGUAUAAUAAAAGGCAUUUUACAAAGAACCAUCCAAACUCUUUCUCUUGGAAGCUGAGCCUUAACAGACUUUUCUCAGUCUCUAAUUGUUGUUAGAGUUGAGUUAAGCUGUGACUGGUGUACGUAGGAGGUACACUCUAAAUCUACAUAGAUAUUAAGGCAGAAGAAUGUGUGCUUUCUAUUUUUGUUCUGUUUUGCUAUAGUUUAUUGAGCACACUGGCCUCCAUGAUGAAUUACUGAAAUCCCU
Serinus canaria (Common canary) is the source of this 1997-nucleotide long non-coding RNA. RefSeq lists it as uncharacterized. The record is from RefSeq and is a predicted model, not a curated record. The transcript is spliced from 3 exons. Lineage: Eukaryota; Metazoa; Chordata; Aves; Passeriformes; Fringillidae.